CGGGAUGUAGCGUAGUCCGGUUAUCGCGCCUGCUUUGGGAGCAGGAGACCCCCAGUUCGAAUCUGGGCAUCCCG
RNAcentral lists this transfer RNA (74 nucleotides) under Bacteroidales bacterium. Its description in RNAcentral is "tRNA-Pro". It matches the Rfam family "tRNA". Rfam says of the family: Transfer RNA (tRNA) molecules are approximately 80 nucleotides in length. Their secondary structure includes four short double-helical elements and three loops (D, anti-codon, and T loops). Lineage: Bacteria; Pseudomonadati; Bacteroidota; Bacteroidia; Bacteroidales. The record is from RNAcentral.